This 253-nucleotide ribosomal RNA is filed under the name uncultured bacterium. RNAcentral's name for it is "partial 16S ribosomal RNA". It matches the Rfam family "Bacterial small subunit ribosomal RNA", at positions 524 to 776 of the family's 1533-position model. The record is from RNAcentral.
UACAGAGGGUGCAAACGUUGUUCGGAAUCACUGGGCGUAAAGCGGGUGUAGGCGGCUUGGUAAGUCGGAUGUGAAAUCCCAGGGCUCAACCCUGGACGUGCACUCGAAACUACUGAGCUUGAGUUCUGGAGAGGAAGGCGGAAUGCUUGGUGUAGAGGUGAAAUUCGUAGAUAUCAAGCGGAACACCGGUGGCGAAGGCGGCCUUCUGGACAGUGACUGACGCUGAGACCCGAAAGCGUGGGGAGCAAACAGG